CCUGGGCUUUCCCUCUGAAAGCUCUUGAGAGAGUUCAGCAAGUGCCAGACUGGUACUGGAAGGGUGUCACAGGAAGUGGGGGGGAGUGGGAGAAGGCUCCUUCCGCUGUGUUCCCUUACACUCUUCUCUCCCAGUCAUUCGAGCCUCAAGCCUGCAUUUUCUGGGGUCUGUCAGUGAUGGAGGUGGAGAAGCCACUAUUACUGAAGUUCUAGAGAGAGCCCAAGAAGCGCUGGAGGUUCGGAGAGGUCAUGACACGUGGGGAACAGGAUGGAGCAGAGGAAGGAGAGAACUGAAUUCCCUCGGGGGACACCCUGAUGAGAAUUAAUUAGAGGUGCAGGGGCUGUGAAUCCCAGGACUGUAACCACAGAAGACACGAUCUCAGGAAGAAUGGUACCAGCCCUGCUAAAACAGCUAUGGCCACAGUUGUUGAGCAUCCAAAGGAAGGUAAGAGUCAGUUGUCUGAUGUUACUUGUAGGCCCCAACUCCGCUGUCUGCUGGACUCCCAGCAGGUUGUUUGGCUGGUAUAUGUGAACAGCAGGGUCCAAGUCAGAGACCAAGGGAUGCAGAUCCA
This is a non-coding RNA of Callithrix jacchus (white-tufted-ear marmoset), 571 nucleotides long. Lineage: Eukaryota; Metazoa; Chordata; Mammalia; Primates; Cebidae. The record is from RefSeq and is a predicted model, not a curated record.